Molecule: small nucleolar RNA, 134 nt
Organism: Neltuma alba
Lineage: Eukaryota; Viridiplantae; Streptophyta; Magnoliopsida; Fabales; Fabaceae
Product: small nucleolar RNA snoR134
Exons: 1
Source: RefSeq, a predicted model, not a curated record
UCGCACGAUGCCUCCCGGGCUUCCCUGAGAUCUGUGAUGCGAAUGCCCCAAAGCACGUGCCAGAUGUAGCCGUUCGUGUUGCAGUUUAGCCUCCUUCUUCAUGGCUGAUCUGUGUCAAAGCAACGGCAACAUUC